Camellia sinensis is the source of this 813-nucleotide non-coding RNA. NCBI's taxonomy places the organism in Eukaryota, Viridiplantae, Streptophyta, Magnoliopsida, Ericales, Theaceae. The record is from RefSeq and is a predicted model, not a curated record.
UGAAGGGAGUUCAGAUCCUCUCCUUGCAAAGACUUACGAGCAUGCGUCCUUGCAACGGCUGAGAUCAGCCGUUGCACAUCCAACGGCUGAGAUUAAAAAAAAAAAAAAAAAAAAUUCAGAUUUCUAUUCUAUUCGUUCCCGCCCGUCGCUAUAGUAUGAGAAUCACUCUCACUCCUCAGUUUCACUCCGCCUUGCACUCCUCCCACUCACUCGUCCCCCUUCACUGAAUCUACUCUCACCGGCGACCAGUCCCCCAGACGGCGGCACCGGCGACCCACUUCCAGGAACUGGGUUCUGAGACCAUAGAGGAAGCAGAUUUUGAAAAAUGGCAUCUUCCUCUAACAUUAGCAACAUAAGACUACAACCAAGAGUGUGCAAUUGUGGAAGAACCGCUGCCAUACGUAUUGUAAAAACCAAUGAGAAUGGAAAUGAAGGACGUUUGUUCUUUGUUUGCCCAUCAAGAUAUAGUAAGACUCCCACUCCCCAUUGCAAUUACUUCAAGUUCGUGGAUGAAGAUGAUGAAGACGUUACUCCAGAAUCCGUACGAACUAUACAGCUUGUGAUGGUAUAACAGUACAAGACUUUAACGAUGUCAGGACGAGGCUUCAUUCCAUGGAAACGAACUAUGGUCGAAGGCUUCAAAGGAUGGAAAGGAAUAUCAAAGCGAUGGUGUACUUCAUUGUAUUUGCUACGAUUUUCUACUUUAUGAUGUAACUUGGAAGUUUGUAGCAUUUUGGCUUGUAUGUACAUGAAGUUGUUAGCUUGUUAUCUAUUAUCUAUUUUCCUCAACUUGUGGCCUCAACUUUCGAAUGA